GUGAACGCUGGCGGUAGGCCUAACCCAUGCAAGUCGCACGGCAGCACAGUAAGCGCUUGCUCUUACGGGUGGCGAGUGGCGGACGGGUGAGGAAUACAUCGGAAUCUACUUUUUCGUGGGGGAUAACGUAGGGAAACUUACGCUAAUACCGCAUACGACCUACGGGUGAAAGCAGGGGAUCUUCGGACCUUGCGCGAUUGAAUGAGCCGAUGUCGGAUUAGCUAGUUGGCGGGGUAAAGGCCCACCAAGGCGACGAUCCGUAGCUGGUCUGAGAGGAUGAUCAGCCACACUGGAACUGAGACACGGUCCAGACUCCUACGGGAGGCAGCAGUGGGGAAUAUUGGACAAUGGGCGCAAGCCUGAUCCAGCCAUACCGCGUGGGUGAAGAAGGCCUUCGGGUUGUAAAGCCCUUUUGCUGGGAAAGAAAAGCAGCAGGUUAAUACCCCGCUGUUCUGACGGUACCCAAAGAAUAAGCACCGGCUAACUUCGUG
Molecule: ribosomal RNA, 491 nt
Filed under: uncultured bacterium
Lineage: Bacteria
Description: partial 16S ribosomal RNA
Rfam family: Bacterial small subunit ribosomal RNA
Source: RNAcentral